This 301-nucleotide ribosomal RNA is filed under the name uncultured bacterium. RNAcentral's name for it is "partial 16S ribosomal RNA". It matches the Rfam family "Bacterial small subunit ribosomal RNA", at positions 509 to 807 of the family's 1533-position model. The record is from RNAcentral.
CAGUAGCCGCGGUAAUACGUAGGGUGCGAGCGUUAAUCGGAACUACUGGGCGCAAAGCGUGCGCAGGCGGUUGUGUAAGACAGGUGUGAAAUCCCCGGGCUUAACCUGGGAACUGCGCUUGUGACUGCACAGCUAGAGUAUGGCAGAGGGGGGUGGAAUUCCACGUGUAGCAGUGAAAUGCGUAGAUAUAUGGAGGAACACCGGUGGCGAAGGCAGCCCCCUGGGCCAAUACUGACGCUCAUGCACGAAAGCGUGGGGAGCAAACAGGAUUAGAUACCCGAGUAGUCCCUGUCUCUUAUAC